RNAcentral lists this long non-coding RNA (444 nucleotides) under Heterocephalus glaber (naked mole-rat). RNAcentral describes it as "lncRNA (ENSHGLG00000047457.1)". Lineage: Eukaryota; Metazoa; Chordata; Mammalia; Rodentia; Bathyergidae. The record is from RNAcentral.
GGGGCACAGCUGUGGAGGUGGCAGGAGGGUCCUGGAGGGGCAGGUGUUCUGCGUCAGGACUGUGUGUCGGCUGUCCUGCUGGUGAGACUGUUCUCUGGUUUUGCAGGAUACUGCUGUAGAGGGAACCAGGAUGAUGAGCGCCAGGGAUCUCUGUGUUAAUGCUGACAUACAUACUGACUUUAGGUCUGGGCCAUCCUAUCCAGGUCUGGAGUUUUGGCAAGAAGUCCAUGUGCAGGGCCUUGGGAACUGUUUUGCAAGUGUAUCCUGGGAUUUUGUAAUCAACAGUAAUGGAGAUUGAAUCCAAGGCUUUUGCACUGAACUCCAACCUCGGUCCUUUUUAUUUUUUACUCUGAGACUGGGUCUUCCUAAAUCACUACUGGUAAGUUGCCCAGGUUAGGCUGGAACUUGCAGUCCUCCUGCCUCAGUCUCCCAGAGAGCUGCGAU